GGAUAGCUCAGUCGGUAGAGCAUGAGAUUCUGAAUCUCAGGGCUGUGGGUUCAGGCUCCACGUUGGGCU
Molecule: non-coding RNA, 69 nt
Organism: Podarcis lilfordi (Lilford's wall lizard)
Lineage: Eukaryota; Metazoa; Chordata; Lepidosauria; Squamata; Lacertidae
Source: the annotation of a GenBank genome assembly